UGACAACAAGUUAUUUCCAAACAAAGAGGCUGCAGCAGGUUCAGGGGACCUUGACCCUUCCAUGGUGUUGGACCCUGGAGACAUCACUGAUCCAGGAUCUGAUUAUGAAGACCAGAUGGAGAACCAAGGCCCAGACAUGUUCAGUAAUAUACCAGGGAUUCAGCACAGAAAGAAUUAUAAUUACCCAGGUAUGGUGGUGCACUCCUGUAAUUCCAGCACUUGGGUGGCUGAAGCAGGAGGAUCACCUCAAGUUCAAGGCCAGCCAAGGCUGCAUAGUGAGUUCAAGACCAGCUUGAACUACAUAGCAAGACCAUGUCUCAAAAAAACAAAAGAAAGAAUUAUACUGUGUAAGGGGCUACCCACAGGGACUCUUGCCCUGCAACACAAUGCCUG
This is a long non-coding RNA of Heterocephalus glaber (naked mole-rat), 393 nucleotides long. The record is from Ensembl. NCBI's taxonomy places the organism in Eukaryota, Metazoa, Chordata, Mammalia, Rodentia, Bathyergidae.